AUGAAGGAUCUAGGCGUAGCUAAUGUUAUCUUAAACAUCAAGCUGUUGAGAGAUGAGAAUGGUGGGAUCACACUGCUUCAGUCUCAUUAUGUGGAAAAGGUCUUGAGUCGUUUUGGGUAUAGCGACUGCACGCCUUCUCCAACUCCAUAUGAUGCUAGUGUUGCCACGAGGCCAGACAUCUGUUUUGCUGUGAGCAAGCUGAGUCGGUUUGUGUCAAAACCGGGAGAUGAUCAUUGGCAUGCGCUUGAGAGAGUUAUGCGCUAUUUGAAAGGCACCGCGAGCUAUGGGAUUCACUACACCGGGUAUCCAAGGGUACUAGAGGGUUAUAGUGACUCAAACUGGAUAUCUCAUGCUGAUGAGAUUAAGGCCACAAGUGGUUAUGUUUUUACACUUGGUGGUGGCGCUGUUUCCUGGAAGUCUUGCAAGCAGACCAUCUUAACGAGGUCAACUAUGGAAGCAGAACUCACAGCAUUAGACACUGCCACUGUUGAAGCAGAGUGGCUUCGUGAACUCUUGAUGGACUUACCUAUGGUUGAAAAACCAAUACCCCCUAUCCUGAUGAACUAUGAUAAUCAAACUGUGAUCGUCAAGAUAAACAGUUCUAAGGACAAUAUGAAGUCCUCAAGGCAUGUGAAGAGGAGACUAAAAUCUGUCAGAAAAUUGAGGAACUCUGGAGUUAUUACGUUGGAUUAUAUCCAAACGUCGAAAAACUUGGCAGAUCCCUUCACAAAGGGUCUAUCACGUAAUGUGAUAGAUAAUGCAUCGAUGGAGAUGGGUUUGAGACCCACGCAUGAGUUGUCCAUAGUG
RNAcentral lists this ribosomal RNA (807 nucleotides) under Triticum aestivum (bread wheat). RNAcentral's name for it is "partial small subunit ribosomal RNA". The record is from RNAcentral. Lineage: Eukaryota; Viridiplantae; Streptophyta; Magnoliopsida; Poales; Poaceae.